The sequence is a transfer RNA, 75 nucleotides long. It matches the Rfam family "tRNA". From Rfam's summary of the family: Transfer RNA (tRNA) molecules are approximately 80 nucleotides in length. Their secondary structure includes four short double-helical elements and three loops (D, anti-codon, and T loops).
GGGCCGUUAGCUUAAUGGUAAAGCAGAGGACUCAUAAUCCUUUGAGUGUAGGUUCGAAUCCUACACGGCCCACCA